RNAcentral lists this ribosomal RNA (468 nucleotides) under uncultured bacterium. Its description in RNAcentral is "partial 16S ribosomal RNA". It matches the Rfam family "Bacterial small subunit ribosomal RNA", at positions 28 to 507 of the family's 1533-position model. The record is from RNAcentral.
GACGAACGCUGACGGCGUGCUUAACACAUGCAAGUCGAACGGAAAGGCCCUGCUUUUGUGGGGUGCUCGAGUGGCGAACGGGUGAGUAACACGUGAGUAACCUGCCCUUGACUUUGGGAUAACUUCAGGAAACUGGGGCUAAUACCGGAUAGGAGCUCCUGCUGCAUGGUGGGGGUUGGAAAGUUUCGGCGGCUGGGGAUGGACUCGCGGCUUAUCAGCUUGUUGGUGGGGUAGUGGCUUACCAAGGCUUUGACGGGUAGCCGGCCUGAGAGGGUGACCGGCCACAUUGGGACUGAGAUACGGCCCAGACUCCUACGGGAGGCAGCAGUGGGGAAUAUUGCACAAUGGGCGGAAGCCUGAUGCAGCAACGCCGCGUGCGGGAUGACGGCCUUCGGGUUGUAAACCGCUUUCGCCUGUGACGAAGCGUGAGUGACGGUAAUGGGUAAAGAAGCACCGGCUAACUACGUG